Molecule: ribosomal RNA, 253 nt
Filed under: uncultured bacterium
Lineage: Bacteria
Description: partial 16S ribosomal RNA
Rfam family: Bacterial small subunit ribosomal RNA
Source: RNAcentral
UACGGAGGGGGCUAGCGUUGUUCGGAAUUACUGGGCGUAAAGCGUGCGCAGGCGGUUAUGCAAGACAGAUGUGAAAUCCCCGGGCUCAACCUGGGAACUGCAUUUGUGACUGCAUGGCUAGAGUACGGUAGAGGGGGAUGGAAUUCCGCGUGUAGCAGUGAAAUGCGUAGAUAUGCGGAGGAACACCGAUGGCGAAGGCAAUCCCCUGGACCUGUACUGACGCUCAUGCACGAAAGCGUGGGGAGCAAACAGG